This 70-nucleotide transfer RNA is filed under the name Dipodomys ordii (Ord's kangaroo rat). It matches the Rfam family "tRNA". From Rfam's summary of the family: Transfer RNA (tRNA) molecules are approximately 80 nucleotides in length. Lineage: Eukaryota; Metazoa; Chordata; Mammalia; Rodentia; Heteromyidae. The record is from Rfam by way of RNAcentral.
GGGAAUGUGGCUUAGUGGUAGAGUGCUUGCCUAACAUUCAUGAAGUCCUGGGUUCAAUUCCCUAGUACCA